GACGAACGCUGGCGGCGUGCUUAACACAUGCAAGUCGAGCGAGGAAGCACCUUCGGGUGUGAAUUAGCGGCGAACGGGUGAGGAACACGUGAAGAAUCUGCCUUCAACCCUGGGAUAACUCCGGGAAACCGGGGCUAAUACCGGAUAUGAGCCUUGAUCGCAUGAUCGGGGCUGGAAAGUUUUUCGGUUGAAGCUGACUUCGCGGCCUAUCAGCUUGUGGGUGAGGUAAGGGCUCACCAAGGCGACGACGGGUAGCCGGCCUGGGAGGGCGACCGGACACACUGGGACUGAGGCGCGGCCCAGACUCCUACGGGAGGCAGCAGUGGGGAAUAUUGGGCAAUGGAGGAAACUCUGACCCAGCGACGCCGCGUGGGGGAUGAAGGGCUUCGGGUUGUAAACCUCUUUCAGUAGGGAAGAAGCGAAAGUGACGGUACCUACAGAAGAAGCACCGGCUAACUAUGUGCCAGCAGCCGCAGUAA
This 479-nucleotide ribosomal RNA is filed under the name uncultured bacterium. RNAcentral describes it as "partial 16S ribosomal RNA". It matches the Rfam family "Bacterial small subunit ribosomal RNA", at positions 28 to 523 of the family's 1533-position model. The record is from RNAcentral.